AGACCCAUCUCGUAUGAGCGGCGGACGGGUGAGUAAUGUCUGGGAAACUGCCUGCUGGAGGGGGAUAACUACUGGAAACGGUAGCUAAUACCGCAUACCAUCAGAUGUGCCCAGAUGGGCUUAGCUAGUAGGUGGGGUAAUGGCUCACCUAGGCGACGAUCCCUAGCUGGUCUGAGAGGAUGACCAGCCACACUGGAACUGAGACACGGUCCAGACGCCUACGGGAGGCAGCAGUGGGGAAUAUUUCACAAUGGGAGCAAGCCUGAUGCAGACAUGCCGCUUGGGGGAAGAAGGCCUGCGGGUUGUAAAGCACUUUCAGCGAGGAGGCGUUACUCGCAGAAGAAGCACCGGCUAACUCCGUGCCAGCAGCCGCGGUAAUAC
This 381-nucleotide ribosomal RNA is filed under the name uncultured bacterium. RNAcentral's name for it is "partial 16S ribosomal RNA". It matches the Rfam family "Bacterial small subunit ribosomal RNA", at positions 76 to 526 of the family's 1533-position model. The record is from RNAcentral.